GUGUUUCCUAGAGUUCCCUUGACCACUUCAUGAGGGCUUACUUCAUUGUUUGAGGCCCUGAUGAAGUGUUUAGGGGAACUUUGGGACUCAC
This 91-nucleotide microRNA precursor is filed under the name Capsicum annuum. Its description in RNAcentral is "mir-395 microRNA precursor family". It matches the Rfam family "mir-395 microRNA precursor family". Rfam says of the family: mir-395 was identified in both Arabidopsis thaliana and Oryza sativa computationally and was later experimentally verified. mir-395 is thought to target mRNAs coding for ATP sulphurylases. The mature sequence is excised from the 3' arm of the hairpin. Lineage: Eukaryota; Viridiplantae; Streptophyta; Magnoliopsida; Solanales; Solanaceae. The record is from Rfam by way of RNAcentral.